This 497-nucleotide ribosomal RNA is filed under the name uncultured Actinomycetes bacterium. RNAcentral describes it as "bacterial SSU rRNA". It matches the Rfam family "Bacterial small subunit ribosomal RNA", at positions 355 to 864 of the family's 1533-position model. Lineage: Bacteria; Bacillati; Actinomycetota; Actinomycetes. The record is from RNAcentral.
UGGGGAAUAUUGCACAAUGGGCGCAAGCCUGAUGCAGCAACGCCGCGUGAGGGACGACGGCCUUCGGGUUGUAAACCUCUUUUAGUAGGGAAGAAGCGAAAGUGACGGUACCUGCAGAAAAAGCACCGGCUAACUACGUGCCAGCAGCCGCGGUAAUACGUAGGGUGCAAGCGUUAUCCGGAAUUAUUGGGCGUAAAGAGCUCGUAGGCGGUUUGUCGCGUCUGCUGUGAAAACUGGAGGCUCAACCUCCAGCCUGCAGUGGGUACGGGCAGACUAGAGUGCGGUAGGGGAGUUGGAAUUCCUGGUGUAGCGGUGGAAUGCGCAGAUAUCAGGAGGAACACCGAUGGCGAAGGCAGAUCUCUGGGCCGUAACUGACGCUGGGGAGCGAAAGCGUGAGGAGCGAACAGGAUUAGAUACCCUGGUAGUCCACGCCGUAAACGUUGGGAACUAGAUGUGGGGCAUUCCACGGCUUCCGUGUCGCAGCUAACGCAUUAACG